Molecule: non-coding RNA, 28 nt
Filed under: Mus musculus (house mouse)
Lineage: Eukaryota; Metazoa; Chordata; Mammalia; Rodentia; Muridae
Source: RNAcentral
UGCAGGUUGUCUCUUGAUACAUAUGCAC